AUUGAACGCUGGCGGCAGGCCUACCACAUGCACGUCGAACGAGUGGCGGACGGGUGAGUAAUGUCUGGGAAACUGCCCGAUGGAGGGGUAUCACUACUGGAAACGGUAUCUAAUACCGCCUACCAUCGGAUGUGCCCAGAUGGGAUUAGCUAGUGGGUGGGGUAACGGCUCACCUAGGCGACGCUCCCUAGCUGGUCUGAGAGGAUGACCAGCCACACUGGAACGGAGACACGGUCCAGACUCCUACGGGAGGAAGCAGUGGGGAAUAUUGAACAAUGGGCGCAAGCCUGAUGCAGCCAUGCCGCGUGUAUGAAGAAGGCCUUCGGGUUGUAAAGUACUUUCAGCGAGGAGGCGUUACUCGCAGAAGAAGCACCGGCUAACUCCGUGCCAGCAGCCGCGGUAAUUC
This 406-nucleotide ribosomal RNA is filed under the name uncultured bacterium. RNAcentral describes it as "partial 16S ribosomal RNA". It matches the Rfam family "Bacterial small subunit ribosomal RNA", at positions 30 to 526 of the family's 1533-position model. The record is from RNAcentral.